This is a long non-coding RNA of Pezoporus occidentalis (night parrot), 3235 nucleotides long. RefSeq lists it as uncharacterized. The transcript is spliced from 2 exons. NCBI's taxonomy places the organism in Eukaryota, Metazoa, Chordata, Aves, Psittaciformes, Psittacidae. The record is from RefSeq and is a predicted model, not a curated record.
UGCAAAGUGCAUGUUUUCCCAGCUCGAACUGUUGCUCUCAGCUGAGCUGGAUGACUUUGCUUGCAGUGUAUUAGGAAACUGCAGUGACAGCAGGCCCCUAUAGACACUGCCAUGCAGCCAUAGUACUAUAGUUGGCCCUAGAUAAGGAAAAGAUGCAGACUUGGGAAAAUGAGAAUAGUGGUAUGAAAGCCUCCAUCUGAAAAGAUUCCAGAAUCAGAAACAUACAAGUGUUCUGCAAACACCACUGAAGCUCCACUGCAUGUUUAAUUGCUCGUUUUUUUUUGCUGACUGUACUGUUAUGAACUAUAAGUAUUUGAGAAAUGAUUUAAAAAAUACAGUUUAGGUUUUCUUUGUUGUCCUUAGAGUUUUCAGCCCUGCAUGGAUCUUGUUUCCAAGCAUUGUUCCUGUAUCCAGCAAGGCAACAAGCAAAUUUAGGAAGUGGGAGCCAGCAUUUUCAUGUGAUGGCAUUAUUCCAGGGACUGGUGCUUUAGGAUAAACGGUAAAUAUUGUGAGGCUUGCAAAGCAGUUCCUGAUUCAUUGCUUAUACGCUGCUGAUUUAUUCAUUGUUUGAGAAGCAUAACGCCUCUGCUGUCUCUGCAGUUUACCUCCAGUCACCUCUCCUCGGCAUGAAUGAAAAAAGAAACAUGAUGUUGUUUCCAGCCUCCAAACCUGAUGGUAACAAAUAUUAGAGUACCAGGUACAUAAAUAAACAUCCCACACAAACAAUAUCCUCCUCUGCUCCUUUUCCCAAAUAUCAGGACUGCUAUGAUCAUCUGUAGUGCUGAGAGCUGUUGCAUCUGCUCAUGGGGAUUUGGGAGAAGGUCCUGUGUGCUUGCACAGGCAAGGCUGACACCUAGUGACCAGACGCAUUUAUUCCUGUGGGAAUUCCCUGAAUUCUAGUUCUCUAUUCACUCUUCUCUAAGUCUGGAAGGCUUAAAUUUCGAGAUGAACAGUUAAUUGACUUAAUCAUCACAUUUGGCCUUUUUUUUUCCCAGUGUUUCUAAUGUACGCUUCAAAAGAUGAAGUUAGGGUACCUUGAAAGCUUGUUCAAAACAUGAAGGUUUUGCAUCUGGUCUCCUGGGAGCUGUUUAUUGCAGCUGCUCUGAGCAAACUGUGAGAUGGCAGACAGCAAUCAAAGUUCAGAAUAUGCUCCUUUUGUUUUCCUUAAAAAAUCAUGGCUGACCUUGGUGUUUGGAUUCUCCUUACUCAUCCAGUCUUAAAGAAUCCAAAAUCAGGCAUGAUGGGAUAUUCUCUGAGUUGGAGAAUUUUCUGCUGACCAGGUGUAACAUCUUACAAUGGCACUGACACCUGUUUCAUCAUCAGGAGGUAGCUGGUCUCUUCUUCCAAGUAACAAGGACAAGAGGAAAUGGCCUCAAGGUAUGCCAGGGGAGGUUUAAACUGGAUAUUAGGAAAAAUUUCUUCACCAAAAGGGUGAUAGAACAGGCAUUGGACCAGGCUGCCCAGGGGAGUCGUGGAAUCACCUUCCCUGGAAGUGUUCAAAACCUGUGUAGAUGAGGCCCUUAGUGACAUGGUUUAGUGGCGGACUUGGCAGUUCUGGGAUAAAGGUUGGCCUUGAUCAUCUUAAAGUUUUUUUCUGACCUUGUUGAGUCUAUGAUUCUAUCAUCAUGGCAGAUCCUGCUGGAAAUGAUUUUGAGUGCUGUGCCUUAGCAAACUGUAUAUUAAAAAGGAAGAGAAAAACCUACCUUAAAGACUUCCAGAAUGUUUCUGAUUUUUCUUUGGUUGCCUAGAUUGACAUUUCAAGGGUAUAACAUUUCUGAGAAUUGUAUGUGACCUUUGGCAAAACAGGUAGCCAUAUAAAUUUUGGGAAGCAGCCACCCCCGUGUGAAAGCAGUCUUUCGUCCUUGUAAGAAUAAUCAUUGACUCCCAAAGUAGACUGCAGACAUUUUCAGUGGUUCCUCACCUUACUCAGUUUCACAGGCAAACCUGUACUGAUGCCCUAAAGAAGCCAUCUUGGAGCAGUCCUUGGGACUGGAGGAAUUUUUUGUCUUCUAAAUGACUUUUAUUAUUUAAAUGUUUCUUGAAAUAUUGGAAGUUGGUUGAUUCAGCGUGCUGUUUGCUGCUAGCACUGCGUUUGGCUACACAAAGAGUCAGAGCUCAAUGUUUUUCUGUGGCUGAAAGGAAACUUUGAUUCUUCCUGAAUGAAAUAACUAGGAACUUGCACAAGCCCCGUGUUGUUGAACGGAAAAGGCAGGCUUUUUCUCCUUCAGAUAAUCUUUUCUAUCUGACUCACAAUUUUACAUAUAGCUCUGGGUCUGUAUCUGUGGCAUGUUUCUAAUUAGCCAAUGAAAAAGAUAAAGGUUCUGUAUUUUAAAAUCCACUGAUUUUUCAUCUGCUAAUUGUGUGUGAUAGGAUGUGCCUCUGGAGAGAGGGAUAACAAAUUCCCGAGGCAAAGAUCUCCAUCAAAGGCAGCAUAUUCUGGUCUCUGAGCAACAUGGGCUUUCACUAUGGCCAUCAUCUUUCCAUAAGUCUGGGAUUCAGGUGCUCUGAUGUUGUGUACACAAAACUCUUAGUCUACAUUAUCAUGGCCUGUUUUUUUUCCCAACAUUACAGCUUUUCACAGUUUGUCCCAGGGCUGCAAAGGGCAAACCAGUUCGGACCCACCGGCCCAUUCCUGAUGCCUGGGAAUGAGGGUAGCAAAACCGUCCAAAUGCACACAUAAAGCUUUCAGUGCGGUGCAGCAAGUGUCUCAGUACUGUUGCCUGGUAGUAUUUACCUGAAGAGAAGGCUGCAUUUUCUCACUUGUGUUCGCAGCCAUCCUUGGUGUCUCUCCAGACGUAGCUUACAAUGCAGGUUAAAGGAUUGUUCAUUUGCAUAGUCAGUUUGAAUAGUUAUUUUAGAAGUUCACAAAACCUGACUUCUAAACAAUUCUAUUUGCACUGAAAAGCUAAUAAGCGUUUAUGAAGUGGCUUUACAGAACAGGUAAAUGUGACUUUGACCAGGUUUAAGUAAUAAAGAGACUUCAAAUUCUUCAGUUUGAAGGCUAAAUAUUGGGAGCCCUGAAGGCUUGAAUGUGAUCUUUGCUUUUAUAAGGAAUGCAGUAUAUAAUGAUUCACCUUCUUUUUCUUUUUUUUUUUUUUUUUUUUUUAGGUAAUGGGAGCUUUGUUAAUCGGUCAGACUACAUCAAUUGUUUUCAUUAUUUCAGACCACAAGUGCAGAAUUCCUGCCUUUGUUCAAAGCGGCAUUGUGGGGAAAAAUAAAGCUCUCCAGUACCAAA